GACGAACGCUGGCGGCGUGCUUAACACAUGCAAGUCGAACGGAAAGUCCCUGCUUUUGUGGGGUGCUCGAGUGGCGAACGGGUGAGUAACACGUGAGUAACCUGCCCUUGACUUUGUGAUAACUUCAGGAAACUUGGGCUAAUACCGGAUAGGAGCUCCUGCUGCAUGGUUUGGGUUUGAAAUUUUCGGCGGUUGGGGAUGGACUCGCGGCUUAUCAGCUUGUUGGUGGGGUAGUGGCUUACCAAGGCGUUGACGGGUAGCCGGCCUGAGAGGGUGACCGGCGACAUUGGGACUGAGAUACGGCACAGACUACUACGGGAGGCAGCAGUGGGGAAUAUUGCACAAUGGGCGGAAGCCUGAUGCAGCAACGCCGCGUGCGGGAUGACGGCCUUCGGGUUGUAAACCGCUUUCGACUGUGACGAAGAGUGAGUGACGGUAAUGGGUAAAGAAGCACCGGCUAACUACGUG
RNAcentral lists this ribosomal RNA (468 nucleotides) under uncultured bacterium. Its description in RNAcentral is "partial 16S ribosomal RNA". It matches the Rfam family "Bacterial small subunit ribosomal RNA", at positions 28 to 507 of the family's 1533-position model. The record is from RNAcentral.